UCGGUUCCGGUUCACGUACUCCACUCCAUGGAGCUACGACCCGGCGACC
Molecule: non-coding RNA, 49 nt
Organism: Nocardia sp. Root136
Lineage: Bacteria; Bacillati; Actinomycetota; Actinomycetes; Mycobacteriales; Nocardiaceae
Source: Rfam